RNAcentral lists this ribosomal RNA (406 nucleotides) under uncultured bacterium. Its description in RNAcentral is "partial 16S ribosomal RNA". It matches the Rfam family "Bacterial small subunit ribosomal RNA", at positions 29 to 526 of the family's 1533-position model. The record is from RNAcentral.
AUUGAACGCUGGCGGCAGGCCUAACACAUGCAAGUCGAACGAGUGGCGGACGGGUGAGUAAUGUCUGGGAAACUGCCCGAUGGAGGGGGAUAACUACUGGAAACGGUAGCUAAUACCGCAUACCAUCGGAUGUGCCCAGAUGGGAUUAGCUAGUAGGUGGGGUAAAGGCUCACCUAGGCGAAGAUCCCCAGCGGGUCUGAGAGGAUGACCAGCCACACUGGAACUGAAACACGGGCCAGACUCCUACGGGAGGGAGCAGUGGGGGAUAUUGGACAAUGGGCGCAAUCCUGAUGCAGCCAUGCAGCGUGUAUGAAGAAGGCCUUCGGGUUGUAAAGUACUUUCAGCGAGGAGGCGUUACCCGCAGAAGAAGCACCGGCUAACUCCGUGCCGGCAGCCGCGGUAAUAC